Molecule: ribosomal RNA, 253 nt
Filed under: uncultured bacterium
Lineage: Bacteria
Description: partial 16S ribosomal RNA
Rfam family: Bacterial small subunit ribosomal RNA
Source: RNAcentral
UACGGGGGGGGCAAGCGUUGUUCGGAAUUACUGGGCGUAAAGGGUUUGUAGGUGGCUCGCUAAGUCACACGUGAAAUCCCUCAGCUUAACUGGGGAACUGCGUGUGAGACUGGCAAGCUCGAGUGCAGGAGAGGAAUGCGGAAUUCCAGGUGUAGCGGUGAAAUGCGUAGAUAUCUGGAGGAACACCGGUGGCGAAGGCGGCAUUCUGGACUGCAACUGACGCUGAAAAACGAAAGCCAGGGGAGCAAACGGG